This is a non-coding RNA of Gossypium hirsutum (cotton), 149 nucleotides long. The record is from Rfam. NCBI's taxonomy places the organism in Eukaryota, Viridiplantae, Streptophyta, Magnoliopsida, Malvales, Malvaceae.
UGGUAAAAAUUUUAUCUAUUUCUACGGUUAAAAACAGUCGUAACUGAUGGAAUAAUCGGAUAAUUACAUGUGGCCUACUACAUAUAUAUACCUCGUACUGAUGUACAGAGAUUAAUUUUUAACAAUAGAAAUUGAUUAAAUUUUUAACA